This 172-nucleotide unclassified non-coding RNA is filed under the name plant metagenome. Its description in RNAcentral is "partial contains small subunit ribosomal RNA and internal transcribed spacer 1". The stretch from base 1 to 54 matches the Rfam family "Eukaryotic small subunit ribosomal RNA", at positions 1778 to 1831 of the family's 1831-position model. The record is from RNAcentral.
GGAAGUAAAAGUCGCAACAAGGUUUCCGUAGGUGAACCUGCGGAAGGAUCAUCAAAGAGAGAGAGAGGCUGUGGAGGAAUCCAUGGUUUUUCAAUAGCAGGAGACUGCAAGAUCAAAGAACGUUUGGAAGUGUCGGCAACGAGAGCCAGAGGCAGUGGAUCUCUCGACUCCC